CGACCGCUGGCGGCGUGCUUAACACAUGCAAGUCGAACGGAAAGGCCCUGCUUUUGUGGGGUGCUCGAGUGGCGAACGGGUGAGUAGCACGUGAGUAACCUGCCCUUGACUUUGGGAUAACUUCAGGAAACUGGGGCUAAUACCGGAUAGGAGCUCCUGCUGCAUGGUGGGGGUUGGAAAGUUUCGGCGGUUGGGGAUGGACUCGCGGCUUAUCAGCUUGUUGGUGGGGUAGUGGCUUACCAAGGCUUUGACGGGUAGCCGGCCUGAGAGGGUGACCGGCCACAUUGGGACUGAGAUACGGCCCAGACUCCUACGGGAGGCAGCAGUGGGGAAUAUUGCACAAUGGGCGGAAGCCUGAUGCAGCAACGCCGCGUGCGGGAUGACGGCCUUCGGGUUGUAAACCGCUUUCGCCUGUGACGAAGCGUGAGUGACGGUAAUGGGUAAAGAAGCACCGGCUAACUACGUG
Molecule: ribosomal RNA, 466 nt
Filed under: uncultured bacterium
Lineage: Bacteria
Description: partial 16S ribosomal RNA
Rfam family: Bacterial small subunit ribosomal RNA
Source: RNAcentral